GACGAACGCUGGCGGCGUGCUUAACACAUGCAAGUCGAACGGAAAGGCCCUGCUUUUGUGGGGUGCUCGAGUGGCGAGCGGGUGAGUAACACGUGAGUAACCUGCCCUUGACUUUGGGAUAACUUCAGGAAACUGGGGCUAAUACCGGAUAGGAGCUCCUGCUGCAUGGUGGGGGUUGGAAAGUUUCGGCGGUUGGGGAUGGACUCGCGGCUUAUCAGCUUGUUGGUGGGGUAGUGGCUUACCAAGGCUUUAACGGGUAGCCGGCCUGAGAGGGUGACCGGCCACAUUCGGACUGAGAUACGGCCCAGACUCCUACGGGAGGCAGCAGUGGGGAAUAUUGCACAAUGGGCGUAAGCCUGAUGCAGCAACGCCGCGUGCGGGAUGACGGCCUUCGGGUUGUAAACCGCUUUCGCCUGUGACGAAGCGUGAGUGACGGUAAUGGGUAAAGAAGCACCGGCUAACUACGUG
RNAcentral lists this ribosomal RNA (468 nucleotides) under uncultured bacterium. RNAcentral describes it as "partial 16S ribosomal RNA". It matches the Rfam family "Bacterial small subunit ribosomal RNA", at positions 28 to 507 of the family's 1533-position model. The record is from RNAcentral.